GUGGUUAUGCCAGAUAUAUAUGGGUUAGCUUUAAGCGCUAAUUAUGGAAUUAUUCCUGAUCACU
This 64-nucleotide transfer RNA is filed under the name Schyzocotyle nayarensis. RNAcentral's name for it is "tRNA-Leu". Lineage: Eukaryota; Metazoa; Platyhelminthes; Cestoda; Bothriocephalidea; Bothriocephalidae. The record is from RNAcentral.